This 3315-nucleotide long non-coding RNA is filed under the name Equus caballus (horse). Its description in RNAcentral is "lncRNA (ENSECAG00000060348.1)". The record is from RNAcentral. Lineage: Eukaryota; Metazoa; Chordata; Mammalia; Perissodactyla; Equidae.
UUUUUUUUUUUUCUGCUUUAUCUCCCCAAACCCCCCCUGUACACAGUUGUAUAUCUUAGUUGCAUGUCCUUCUAGUUGUGGAAUGUGGGAUGCCACCUCAACAUGGCCUGACGAGCGGUGCCAUGUCCGUGCCCAGGAUCCGAACCCUGGGCCGCCGCAGUGGAGCGCGCGAACUUAACCACUUGGCCACAGAGCCGGCCCCACAUUCUUAUUUCUGAUACAACAAGGUGCUCUAGGUUCAUCUUUCCCUGCCCCGACCCUGGAGUCAGGCAGUUCUCCAAAGAAUCACUGGAGAAACGUCAUUCUCCUUUUAUCGGAGAAUGAUAUUUAGAAACCAAGAUCUGGGCGCUUGGGGCGUCAUUUCUUCUGGGCCUCUCUGUGGACAGAGCAAGGAAACGUCUGUAUACUAACGGAUGUGUGGACACGUGUCUAUAGCGUUUUCAUCUGUCAUCUGUCCACCUCCGUCUAUUAAACUAGACAUGAUUUGUCCUGAUGUCUCUGACUCGACUCCAUUCCUACAGGGCACUUCCAGCCUCCUCCCUUUGCUUAUCUGCAACUUCUUUCUCUGACAUCGAGAGACCCGGCUCCCAUGUCUGCCAUUUAUUUACUUAUUUGUUCAACUCCAGCAUCAAUGUAACAUACAUGCAGGGUUAGUACCUCCUACUCCUGUGAAAAACAAAUUUACAGACUAGAGUUCUGCGUUUACAUACAGUUCUUUUUGUCUUUAGUUUCCAGUCAAAAUACCAAAAUUACUUUGGUCAGCUUCUACUUUUUUAUCCACACCAUGUAUGAAGUUAUGUCAUACAUUUGUAAUUCGGUUAGAUUUAUCAGUCAUAUUCCAUUCUAGGCUUCUGUUUUAAAUUUUCUUACAUUAAAGUUCACCCUUCAUGAUGUGUGGUUCUAGGGAUUUUGACAAAUGCGCAGUCAUGUAUCUGCUACCCCUGGGCCGUACAGAACAGCUCCGUCACCCUGAAAGUUCCCGUGCGCGCACCCUGUGCCGUCAAUCACCCCUUUCCAUCCUCUGGCAACCUCUGCUCUGCUUUCUGUCCUCGGAUUUUGCCUCUUCCAGAACGUCAGCUGAAUGGAAUUAAACAACAUGUAACCUUUUGAGUCGGGCAUCCUGCACUUGGGAAAAUGCGUUUAAGAUUUGCCCGUGUUGUUCUGUGUAUCAGUGGCUUAUUCCUUGUUGUUCUGUGUAUCAGUGACUUAUUCCUUUUUAUCUCUGAUAAACAGGUGCUGUUCCAAGUGCUUUAUACAUUCACCUCGCUUAAUCCUCCCAACACCCCUGCGAGGGAGGGUUCAUGACCUCCAUUAUCUUCAUUUUGCAGGAUACUCUUUGAUUUGGAUCCCAGAAUGAUGUCUUUCUACAACCAAGUGACACCACUUGGUACACGCCCCAACAAAGCAGGAGUGACAGAAGCCUGGACACCAGCGGGGUUUUCCUUCCAACAUCUGAUAACCAUAGGUCAACCGGCACAACCAGUAGGCCGCCCUGUGCAUGGAAGGUGUUCUGUUUCACUGGUCUCUUAGCCACCAUCACCACCACCAACAAUAGCGGUGGUGGCAGCAGCAACAACACCCGUCGAGUGUUGAUGUCUCGGGCACUGUUCUAAGUGCUGUGUGUUUAGUCCUCACAGCUACCAGUGAAGUGUGUAUGAUUACUAUCCACGUUUUACAGAUGAGGGUACCAAGGCAGACAGUGUUAGUCUUUUCUGUGUCUCAUCACAGAUCGUAAGUGGCAGGAGGGGAGUCCAGCCCAGACAGUCCAGCUCUGGAGUCCACUCCAGCAAACCCUAACCACGGGAGCUUUGGGUCUCCAUGCCACCUGUGCAUUCGCUGCCCUCCCUGGGUGGUGCCGUGGCUCUGGCGCUGAGGCCUGUGAUGACGGCGGGGCAUCCUCGGCCAGGGUGUCUAGUCUGCUGUUGUUCAUACCACCCUUCCCGUCAGGUAGCAGGUCAAAGCAAUGCGCCCCACACUCUUUGAACAGCCCCUCUCUGAUCACACCCCACGUUAUUCACAGGUGUCUCAGGUGGGGAGUUUUCCUCCUCAGAUGUCUCUGUGUCACCUUCCUUGGGCCUAUUCUCCUUCUCUGUGUACUGUCCACAGUGUCCCACCUUGAGGCUGUCAGAUAGAGGUGCUCUCCACCUCUCAGUUCUUUCUUGCUGCCAGCGAUGUUCAGAUUUCAUGCCACCAUUAAGUAUCCCUCCCAUGGCUCUUAGAACCACACCUACGCAUCACCCUGGUUUGUUCCUGCUGUUCUUGCUGUGGGGUGCACAGUGGUUGACCAGAGCUCCUCCAGCAGCUGCUGCAGCUGAGCUACACGCUGCAUGGUGAGUUCUCCAUCUCCACUGCUCAACCGUGGAUCCCCCCAGCCCUGCUAACUGGAGAGAAGCCCACGGACAUCAUCGACUGGAAACCUCCCUAAAGCGUAGGUGCAUCCAGAAACAGUACAGCUGGUUGCCAAAUCCUUUUGCUAUAGCGGUGUGUUCUCCAACACAAUCAAAAGUCAGAAAGGAUGUGUCAGGGAUGGGUCCCUCCAAGGAGUCUCUGUGAUUCUACCUCCAAAUCUCUGGAACGCUUCACACAGUGGCUGCCUCUUGAAAUAGUUCCCCUGAUCGGAAAUUACAUACCUAAGACAAGUUUUUAUAAAUCAAGAAUUUCAGACAUCUCUCCUUGAGGCAAGGCGACUUGCAUUUUCCUUUUCUGUAUAUAAAAGGCUGUGGUCCUACCUCCUCACCCUCCUCAGGUGUGGACCCUGCCCGCAGGAUGUUGCCUCUGACUGCACAGACUCCUCCUGCCCCCACCAGCCGCCUCCCUUCCUCUCAUUCAUUCACAUACACCGCCGCCCACUCAGUCCCUCAUGCGUGGAGUUGGCUGGGUCGUUCCACGCUACUGUUCCCUUGCUUUAAAUCAAAACACUAUCGUCUAGCUACUAAUUAUGUGCAUCUUAGGACAACUCUAACCAUGUCUUCACUACUUAAUUUCUUCAUACUUUUUUUUUUUAAGAUUGGCACCUGAGCUAACAACUGUUGCCAAUCUUUUUUUUUCGCUUUUUUUCUGCUUUAUUUCCCCAACCCCCCUGUACAUAGUUGUAUAUCUUAGUUGCAGGUCCUUCUAGUUGUGGCAUGUGGGACACUGCCUCAACGUAGCCUGACAAGCGGUGCCAUGUCUGCGCCCAGGAUCCGAACCCUGGGCCGCCGCAGUGGAGCGCGCGAACUUAACCACUCGGCCACGGAACCGGCACCAAUUUCUUCAUACUUUUAUGUUCAGUUUCACUAACUAAUCUGUCAGCUCUUUGGGACCAGAGAUCAUGGC